CAAGUACUCCUUCCGUUCGGAAUUACUUGUCAUGAAAAUGAAUAGAAAUUGAUGUAUCUAGAUGAACUAAAAUACAUCUAGAUACAUCCAUUUCUGCGACAAGUAAUUUGGGACAGAUGGAGUAUAUA
This is a non-coding RNA of Hordeum vulgare subsp. vulgare (domesticated barley), 128 nucleotides long. The record is from Rfam. NCBI's taxonomy places the organism in Eukaryota, Viridiplantae, Streptophyta, Magnoliopsida, Poales, Poaceae.